RNAcentral lists this transfer RNA (62 nucleotides) under Alnetoidia dujuanensis. RNAcentral's name for it is "tRNA-Ala". The record is from RNAcentral. Lineage: Eukaryota; Metazoa; Arthropoda; Insecta; Hemiptera; Cicadellidae.
UGGGUUGUAUUUAAUUAUAAUAUCUGAUUUGCAUUCAGAAGGUGCUUUGGCAGUCUUCCUUA